UACGGGGGGGGCAAGCGUUGUUCGGAAUUACUGGGUGUAAAGGGUUCGUAGGCGGUGUGGCAAGUCGGGAGUGAAAUCUCUGGGCUCAACCCAGAGUCUGCUUCCGAAACUGCUGUGCUUGAGUGUGGGAGAGGCGCGUGGAAUUGCAGGUGUAGCGGUGAAAUGCAUAGAUAUCUGCAGGAACACCCGUGGCGAAAGCGGCGCGCUGGACCACUACUGACGCUGAGGAACGAAAGCUAGGGGAGCAAACAGG
This 253-nucleotide ribosomal RNA is filed under the name uncultured bacterium. RNAcentral's name for it is "partial 16S ribosomal RNA". It matches the Rfam family "Bacterial small subunit ribosomal RNA", at positions 524 to 776 of the family's 1533-position model. The record is from RNAcentral.